RNAcentral lists this ribosomal RNA (889 nucleotides) under uncultured Bacteroidota bacterium. RNAcentral's name for it is "bacterial SSU rRNA". It matches the Rfam family "Bacterial small subunit ribosomal RNA", at positions 28 to 916 of the family's 1533-position model. Lineage: Bacteria; Pseudomonadati; Bacteroidota. The record is from RNAcentral.
GACGAACGCUGGCGGCGCGCCUAACACAUGCAAGUCGAACGGAGAUUACAGGCGGAAGUUUUCGGAUGGAAGCUUGUAAACUUAGUGGCGGACGGGUGAGUAACACGUGAGCAACCUGCCUAUCAGAGGGGGAUAACGAUUGGAAACGAUCGCUAAUACCGCAUGACAUAGCGGAACCGCAUGGUUUUGCUAUCAAAGAUUUUAUCGCUGAUAGAUGGGCUCGCGUCCGAUUAGAUAGUUGGUGGGGUAACGGCCUACCAAGUCGACGAUCGGUAGCCGGACUGAGAGGUCGAACGGCCACAUUGGGACUGAGACACGGCCCAGACUCCUACGGGAGGCAGCAGUGGGGGAUAUUGCACAAUGGGGGAAACCCUGAUGCAGCGACGCCGCGUGAGGGAAGACGGUCCUCUGGAUUGUAAACCUCUGUCUUCGGGGACGAAAGUAGACGGUACCCGAGGAGGAAGCCACGGCUAACUACGUGCCAGCAGCCGCGGUAAUACGUAGGUGGCAAGCGUUGUCCGGAAUUACUGGGUGUAAAGGGAGCGUAGGCGGGCAGGCAAGUCAGGCGUGAAAUAUAUCGGCUCAACCGGUAACGGCGCUUGAAACUGCAGGUCUUGAGUGAAGUAGAGGUUGGCGGAAUUCCUAGUGUAGCGGUGAAAUGCGUAGAUAUUAGGAGGAACACCAGUGGCGAAGGCGGCCAACUGGGCUUUUACUGACGCUGAGGCUCGAAAGUGUGGGGAGCAAACAGGAUUAGAUACCCUGGUAGUCCACACCGUAAACGAUGAUUACUAGGUGUGGGGGGACUGACCCCUUCCGUGCCGGAGUUAACACAAUAAGUAAUCCACCUGGGGAGUACGGCCGCAAGGUUGCAACUCAAAGGAAUUGACGG